AAAGAUCGCAGCCUGCGGCAGCUCCUACAGGGGACUGCAUUCCCAAAUGUAGGAGCUGCCGCAGGCUGCGAUCUUU
RNAcentral lists this non-coding RNA (76 nucleotides) under Pseudomonas baetica. Lineage: Bacteria; Pseudomonadati; Pseudomonadota; Gammaproteobacteria; Pseudomonadales; Pseudomonadaceae. The record is from RNAcentral.